GCCUAACACAUGCAAGUCGAACGGAAACGAUGGAAGCUUGCUUCCAGGCGUCGAGUGGCGGACGGGUGAGUAAUACUUAGGAAUCUGCCCAGUAGUGGGGGACAACCAGGAGAAAUCCUGGCUAAUACCGCAUACGCACUACGGUGGAAAGUGGGGGAUCUUCGGACCUCACGCUAUUGGAUGAGCCUAAGUCGGAUUAGCUUGUAGGUAGGGUAAUGGCCUACCUAGGCGACGAUCCGUAGCUGGUCUGAGAGGACGAUCAGCCACACUGGGACUGAGACACGGCCCAGACUCCUACGGGAGGCAGCAGUGGGGAAUAUUGGACAAUGGGCGCAAGCCUGAUCCAGCAAUGCCGCGUGUGUGAAGAAGGCCUGCGGGUUGUAAAGCACUUUCAGUAGAGAAGAAAAGCCUAGGGUUAAUACCCCUGAGUCUUGACGUAACCUACAGAAGAAGCUCCGGCUAACUCCGUGCCAGCAGCCGCGGUAAUACGGAGGGAGCGAGCGUUAAUCGGAAUUACUGGGCGUAAAGCGCACGUAGGCGGCUUUGUAAGUCGGAUGUGAAAUCCCCGGGCUUAACCUGGGAAUUGCAUUCGAUACUG
This 598-nucleotide ribosomal RNA is filed under the name uncultured bacterium. Its description in RNAcentral is "bacterial SSU rRNA". It matches the Rfam family "Bacterial small subunit ribosomal RNA", at positions 46 to 635 of the family's 1533-position model. The record is from RNAcentral.